GAAGGGAUGAAGAGAUGCCCUUGUUUCCAGACUUGUCUAUCAUUCUUGAAGGAACAGAUGGGCUCCGGAGCUGGGGAAUGUGAACUACCACUCCUGAUGGCUCUGGUCACAUUGAUGACUUUGUUCUUGCCUUACACUUCAGAGCCCAGUGGUUACAGUGGCAAUGGGAGUGUAUGUCCCAGCACAAGGCAUUGCAGACCCUCCCACCUUAGCAGAAUAUAGUUCUUCCUCUGCUCCAUAAGGACUUGGAAUUCCCCAACCUGACUAGUAGAGUGGCAAUAACCAGACUCCUGUGUUUGUUGGGAGAGUUCAGAGUUCCUGAGAAACAGGUUCCCUUGAAGCCCUGCUUCCCUGGGGAAUUGGACCUGAGGCUACCCUGCCUCUGUGUCUCCACAGCUGGUGAUGAAAUGCAUGAGACCAGAAGAUGUGUCGGUGCUGUACAUCACUCAGGCCCAGGAAAUGGAGAAGCAGGGCAAGUACUGUGAGGCUGAAAGGCUCUAUGUGACAGUAGAAGAGUCUGAUCUUGCCAUCACCAUGUACAAAAAGCACAAGCUGUAUGAUGACAUGAUCCGCCUGGUUGGGAAGCACCAUCCAGAUCUCUGCAGUGACACACACCUACAUCUGGGCAAGGAGCUGGAGGCUGAAGGCCGACUACAGGAGGCCGAGUACCACUACCUCGAGGCCCAGGAAUGGAAGGCAACAGUGAACAUGUACCGAGCCAGUGGGUUUUGGGAAGAGGCCUAUGGGCUCCUUUGAAUUUGCUUUUGAACUCUCUCGGCUGGCCCUCAAGCACAAAACCCCCGAGAUCCAUCUCAAACACGCUUUGUACCUGGAGGAUGAGGUACGGGUGUUAUUUGGACCCUGACCGCAGAGCCCUCUUGUUCCAUCCCCUAGUGCACUGCUGCCUGGUGUGCAGACCCCGGUCUCAUGGCUGCCUGUGAUGCCAGUCUCCUUCCCAUCACGCACAGCUGUCCUUCUCCCUGUAGGUUAAAUUGGAAGAGGCUGAAGCUGAAUUCAUCAGAGCUGGUAAAACCAAGGAAGCAGUCCUCAUGUGAGUUACCCCAUACAUUCCUUAAUCCUGUUUCCCCAGUCCCAGUCCCAGAGUCUUUCAUGAUUAUCUUGACCUUCAUUCAAACCUAGAACAAAUCAGUGUUACACACCUCAGUGACAUGGCUGUUUGUCUCCUAGAAUUGGGGCCUCAGUCCUAUACUCAGUCUCUUCUCUGUCCCCAUCUGGGGGCAGGUUUGUCCAUAACCAGGACUGGGAGGCAGCUCAGCGUGUGGCCGAGGUUCACAUGAGGUGCUUGUGGGACAGGCUCGGAGGGCCUUGGAGGAGAAGGACGUUCAGAGAGCAGAAGGGCUGCUGCUCCGGGCCCAGAGAUCAGACCUGACUCUCAAUUAUUAUAAGGUGGGGCACUGGACUCAGGGCCAUGAGGGGAAGGGGAGAGGGUCUGAGAGCCCACAGAGAGCCACACUGACUGCUGGUAUGAAGAAAGAUCACUUUCAGAACCCGUGGGCUUGGGCAGUCGAAGAGGUCUGGGUUGGAAAGUGUGAGCUCUUCUUGGCUGUUGAGCUGAUCUGCACUGGUUCCCCCACACAGGCGGGGCAGGGCUUAGGAGAAAUUCCGGGUUUGGGGCAUUUCUUGGCCCAGUGGCCACGAUUCCCACACUUGAAGCAAGAUCCGGGCGGGGUGGCUGGAUGCGAUGCAUUCUGGGCACUUUUAAGUCUUUGUGAGCUGGUGAUGUGGCUGGGGUUUGUCUUACGGAAGAGGCAAGCAUUUGUAGUUCUGAGAUGUGCUGCUGCCGGGCAGAUUUUUCCCUGUUAUUGAACACACUCUGUAAAUGUGGUCCAGAACUGAAAUCCAUAGAUUUGUCUUGAAGCUUAGAAGCUUUGUUUGAUGAGCCAACUCUGAUGAUUUCGUGCUUUUCAAGUGUAGUAAGAAGUUGAGCGCUGCAGUUUUAUCACUUUGUAAUUGUAGCUCUUGGCUUAAUACUCCAGAUUGCACCCCUGAAAACUGUGGCUCUUUUGUAAACACUAGAGACUUCACGUCUUGCAGCCGUGUUAUUGGAUAUGCCUCUAAGGGUUUCACUUUGUGCAGCUGUGGUCUUGGGGUCAACUCAGAAGAUUUCACGUCUUGCAUGUGAAGCCCAGAUCUGAAUGCCAUAGAUUUUAUAUCAUGAAGCUUUGAUGUUGAAAUUGGGCCACAGGAUUUCACACUUCUGAACUGUAACCCAGAUUUCAAAUCAAUAGUUUUGAACCCUGGCAAUUCACAGGUUGAAGCUAUGGCUUUGCAGUGGAGCCCAAGGGUUUCGCUUGGUGCAACUGUGGACCUGGAGUCAGUUUGAGAGAUUCCAGACUUUGCAGCUGUGGUUCAUGUUUUAACUCUUUAGCUUUUACAUCUUGCAUAUUUCGGUCUGGUCAAUUCAAAUGAUUUUAUACCUUUCGACUUUGGUUCAGACUUGAGGUCUACAGAUUUUAUACCUUCAGAUUUUGACUCUGGAAUUAACUCCAAAGACAUUAUACCUUCUGACUCAGACCCUCUCUUUACUUGCUCAAAAUUCACACAUUGCUGCUCUGGUGAGUUUACAGAUACCUGACCAUCCUGUUCCGGCUCAAGGGUUAAAUCCACAAGUUUUACUUCUUCAAACUCUUGUCCUCUGGUUACAUUCACAGAUUGUACUACCAGUCUUUUCUGCCUUGGGGCAAACUCUACAGAUUUUACACUUUGCAAAUGUGGAUCUUGAGUCUCCUUUAUAGAUUUUAAACUUUGAAGCUUUAAACAUGGAGUAAUCUCCUCAAAUUUCAUAUCUUGCAUUUGUGGGACUGAAAGUCGGUUCCUCAGGUUUCAUGCUUUGUAGGUGAGGCCUUUGAAGCAUCUCCAUAGAUUUAACCCCUUGAGGCAAUGGCGCUGGUGCAAAAGCUAUAGACUUCUCACCUUGCAUCUUUAGCCCAGAUUUUAAUUUCACAGCUUUCAUAUC
Molecule: long non-coding RNA, 2977 nt
Organism: Aotus nancymaae (Ma's night monkey)
Lineage: Eukaryota; Metazoa; Chordata; Mammalia; Primates; Aotidae
Source: Ensembl